CGGCCUAGGCGCGUCGCGUCGCGUCGCCACUGCUGCAGCGUAACGUAGAAACUCAGUCCGACGGCGGCGCCGCACCAGACGUACGUAUCAGGACGCGCCUUUACGUGGUCCACCGAUCAAACGUCCGAUUCCGUUCGAUUCCCUUGUGCGUCGUCGAGCGAGAAAACUGAAAGAAAGUACGUUCAAACGGCAAGACAACAAGGAAGAGACUACACCGAAUCACCCCGAGGAAGACGACAACGAGAUUUUAACAAGGAAACAGGAAGAUCGAGGCGUACGAUUGAAAAUCCAAAGCGAGGACUCGGUUUUGGAGAUUGUUCCACUUGUUCGGAGGAAAGCGUGAAGAAGUUACCGAUCCGAAGUUCCCGUGAUCGCUGUCGUGAUCACUGUUUACCAAGUUACUCGGAGGAUUUUCCGCGAGCAUUUCGAAAGAGGUUGCGAGACACCAAGAGAGAGAGAGAGGCAGAGAGAAAGAGUUGAUCUUGGGGAACGAAAGGGGCGACAGUCGGUGCACCGAGUGCCUUUUACCUUUACUGUUUUCGUUCCGCGGGACAGGACACGUUUGGUACCGCCCCUCUGGGCGGCUCCUGACCCCAAGGAUCCUCGGCCCGAACUGACGGACUUCUCUUCACGCGACCCCGCGACCGGUACCAGGAUGCUUUCGUCCUCGAGAGCUUUCCCGCCGCUUCUCUUCGUGGCGCUCUUCGCCUGCAUCGGGGUAGCACACGGCAUCAGAUGUUACAAAUGCGGUGAGUACAACGACGGAAUCGGCAGCGUCACGCCGUGCAUCAAUUACACCGCGCACAUGCAUUUGAAGGAUUGUCCGCCCUCGGUCGAAUGGUGCAUCAAAUACAUCAGCGAGGGAUCGAUAGUGCGAGACUGUGUGCCCAAAUGUGAAGAAAAGGAGUCCUGGAGCACGAGGACGUACUGCUGCCAGCAAGAUGGCUGCAACUCCGGCCCGUCGUUGACGUCCAGCAGCACCAUGGUAUUCCUCAUGGUAGCGAUGGUCGCCCUCCUCGUCGGGCGGACGCUUCGUGGCUAAUAUGUCGCUAGAAGCGACGAGCAGCCCGCGAACGGAAGCACCGGGAUCCAUCAAACGCGAGAACAAGCGAGGAAGGAAGCAGCGACCACAACAGAUUGUUCAUCCGCGACACGUUUUACUUUCGGUUUUCGCACGCGAUCGAAGCAUAUCUCGGGACGAAACGAGUGCGCCAUUUUCUUCUCAGGCUAACCAGCGUUCGGUCGAUCGGUCGAUCGGCCGAUCGAUCGAUCGCCCGUCAGGGGGAUAAAAGAAUUCCUAAACAACUGAGAGAUCGAGAGAAACACACACAGAAAUUAAAAAGAAAACAGUAGAUCGAGGGAAGAUCCAAAGUAAAAGAGACCGAAGCGAGAGAAAGAAGGAGAAGAAGAAGGGAAAGAGGAAUACGAGAUAGAGCGCGGAUAACAAAGAAAAACCGAGGAAAAAACGAUUCAUCCUAGCCGAUAAGCGCGUGCAGCGAUCACAAGUAGGGAAUAAAUCUACCUGUUUCACUGAACGAAGGUAGCAGACAGAGAUUCUAGCGAUUAUAUACCUGUUCUUCGAGUAUUAGCGCGCGAGAGGGGGAGAGAGAUGAUUUAUCUAAAGUUAGCUCGAGUCUAGCGGUUAAAUGUUAAGACAACCUACAAUCCGUUUCCCGUCACGGGCGUCAGCCGAUCGAACGUCGUCGUUUCAGUGACGAAGGAACGAUUCGGGGCGGACGGGUAUCAGCACCGAGGAAGAUCAAGACGAAGUUGAUGACGAUCGCGGGGAAAAUAUUCCGGGACGCGUCUGAUGGCGGCUGUUCGUCAUCGUCGCGUCACGGAGCUGUUGCCUGAAAAUUGAAUGGAUCAGGGCAUCGGGGAAUUUGCUAAUGAUUAUUAGGUCGAAGAUGCGUUGAAGAAUGUGGAGAACGAAUUUGUGGGCGACGUUUCAUGUGACGUAAGGUUACGGUAUUUCACGUGAUUUUUAAUGUUGAAAUUUGAUUUCCUGCGACGUGACGUACGAUGACGUUGACACUAGGAAUUUCGUCAUGACAUUUUUUGUGUGAAUUUUAUAUGGCGCUGUUCAUUUUGAAUGAUUCGUUGUAGCAAUUUGGAUACUUAAUAUGAUUGAAUUUAGAAUCUCCUGUGACAAUGUUGGUUGAAAUUUUGUUGUUAGUCUUUCUGAAAUAACGUCAUAUGACGUAUAACGUUGAUAGUCCACAAUGUGACGUCGAAAUUGCAUCAUGCGACGACACAUUUGAAACCGUGAUCAGUGGAUUUCAGAGAUCGACCAGCAAUAAAUCGUUGAAAUCUUCGUUAAAGUAAGGGAUGAUUAUGGAUUAAAUUGGAUACCGUGAAUUCCGGUAAUUCUAUCGUGAAUAACAAUCGCGAUCGAAAGCGUCACGCGGGCUAUGAUCGUCGAGAAUCACCAUCGACAAGCUUCGCUUACAUUUUAUCCAUGUAUUUUUAUAACGCAAAGUGCAACAUAGGGACGCGUCGAUUUGAAUUCUGCAAUCCUAUUCGCCGGGGUUCGUCGACGGUUCCGGCUCGACGCUUCGAACGCUGGAAUUAUUAUCUCUGCCCUCGAUUAUCCGGAAAAAUCAGGCGAAAUAAACUCAAAACUGAAGGAGGAUGCUAAAUUAAAGACUCUUAAAUGAAAUGGAAGCUUCUAAACAACUCUUAACCCCUUGACGUACACGUCUUCGCGGUACAUACGCUAUGGAGAAAUUUCGAGUGAAAUAUAUUAGAUUUGUUUCUAUUAUUAGCAAAAUAUAGUUAAUUCAAUUUUUGGUUACGAAAGCUUCUCACUUAUGUAAAGAGAGUGAAAGUAACUUUGAAUUUGACACGUUCUAUGCCAUGCCACCGGUGAUCCCCAACCAAAUCGAAUCACUGUAAUUCACUCAAACGACGAUUAUUUAGAUAUAUUUCUAUAUUAUAAAUAAUGCUACCUAAUGCGGUGAUGUUCAGCUAGAUGAACGUGCGAUAAUAAUAACGCAACUCGAUCAAAUGACUUAAUAUUAUAUUUCUUCCAUUUUGUGUAUUUUGCUCUAUGAAACCGUGCGGCGUUCAACGUGUUAAAUAAGUUAGCAAGCUUCUGUUAGGGGAUGAUAUUAGUUACCGUUAAGGGGUUAAAUGAAAAAAGAGAUCCCGGGGUAGGAACUUGAAGAAACUCUGCCUCGAAACGUUCCGCGUCGAAAUCACGUGAAAAGCGAAACAAGAGAGAUAGAAGGUAAAGCUCUUUCUUCUAAAACCCAAGAAAAGAACACGGAUAAGAGAGAAACGGGUCGAGAAGCUGUUAAAGGAUCAUCGAAGUUGACCUACCGACAAGACGCGCACGCGCGAGAACGUUUUCUUUUCUCUCCGUUUUAUUUCCCACUUUAUGACGGUACGCUUCGGACUUGCCGCGGACAUCCCGCGCGAAGGAUGGUCGGGUUCUGGGCGAUUUCUCAUUUAGCACGUAAGGUUUUAAAGUUGGGGGAUCACUUGAUGGCUAGGUUGAGGUAUGCGGGCUUGAUUGGUCUGUUUUCAUCCGUUCUGAUUUCAUUUUUGAUGCUUAUUUUAUAUUCGUUGAUACGGUUACAGGGAAUCAGUGUUAUAAACUGCUUGAGUUCUGCGAGCUUCGAGACUGGACUUAAUCUGAAACUUAAACUUUGAGUCUUGAAAGCUUAAAGUAUUAUCAAGCUCAAGUCCUUGAAACCUUGAAGCUUCAAAGUUCUAUAAGUUUGAGUAUUGGAAGUAUUAAGGUUCAACUUUGAAAGCUAAGUCUUGAAAGCUGUAAGUUCUAUCAAGCUCAAAUCUUUGAAACUUUGGAGCUUCAAAG
Molecule: RNA transcript, 3820 nt
Organism: Nomia melanderi (Alkali bee)
Lineage: Eukaryota; Metazoa; Arthropoda; Insecta; Hymenoptera; Halictidae
Source: RefSeq, a predicted model, not a curated record